GACUAUACAAACCCAAAAUCAAGUCUUCAUGUUCAUGCCCUAGCUACAUCUGGUGUCCACCCUCGCCUCUCCAUCGACUCAUCGAGCAUGGAAAAUCUAAUUGCUGACCAGAAGUACCCAUCGACCAUCUGUAUCCUAAAGCACUCCUCGGUUGUGGUGAAUGGUAAGCUACAACUUCGUCUCAGUUUAACCUGGGAUCGACUCGGUUUGCGGGUUAGAUGGAAACUUUAAUCGAUUGGUAGUUCGGGUUGGGUGGCAAAACUUGUUUGGGGCAUGCUCGAGAACCGAAUAAGAUUUCAAUAUAUAUUUUUAAUUAAUAAAUAUUUGUAUUAUAUAUAAGAUACAUAUUAAUAUAUGGUGUAUUAUUAUUGUAUGAGUAGUACCCCUUGCACCCAAAAUUAUACACUAUAAUAUGUAUGAAUAAUCAUGUAGCUGUCGACAUGAUAAAUAUUUUGUUAAUGCAAACAUGCAUCUAAAGUAA
Lactuca sativa (garden lettuce) is the source of this 481-nucleotide long non-coding RNA. RefSeq lists it as uncharacterized. The record is from RefSeq and is a predicted model, not a curated record. NCBI's taxonomy places the organism in Eukaryota, Viridiplantae, Streptophyta, Magnoliopsida, Asterales, Asteraceae.